RNAcentral lists this unclassified non-coding RNA (204 nucleotides) under Hevea brasiliensis (rubber tree). Lineage: Eukaryota; Viridiplantae; Streptophyta; Magnoliopsida; Malpighiales; Euphorbiaceae. The record is from RNAcentral.
GGCAAGAAGCUCGUCUCUGCCACCAAGGAAGGUCUGAAGCUUGAUGAGAGUGAGGACGAGAAGAAGCGGCAGGAGGAACUCAAGGAGAAGUUCGAGGGUCUGUGCAAGGUGAUCAAGGAGGUGCUCGGUGACAAGGUGGAGAAGGUUGUUGUCUCUGACCGUGUGGUGGACUCUCCCUGCUGUCUAGUCACUGGGGAGUAUGGC